AUGAACGCUGGCGGCGUGCCUAAUACAUGCAAGUCGAGCGAACGGACGAGAAGCUUGCUUCUCUGAUGUUAGCGGCGGACGGGUGAGUAACACGUGGAUAACCUACCUAUAAGACUGGGAUAACUUCGGGAAACCGGAGCUAAUACCGGAUGAUAUUUUGAACCGCAUGGUUCAAAAGUGAAAGACGGUCUUGCUGUCACUUAUAGAUGGAUCCGCGCUGCAUUAGCUAGUUGGUAAGGUAACGGCUUACCAAGGCAACGAUGCAUAGCCGACCUGAGAGGGUGAUCGGCCACACUGGAACUGAGACACGGUCCAGACUCCUACGGGAGGCAGCAGUAGGGAAUCUUCCGCAAUGGGCGAAAGCCUGACGGAGCAACGCCGCGUGAGUGAUGAAGGUCUUCGGAUCGUAAAACUCUGUUAUUAGGGAAGAACAUAUGUGUAAGUAACUGUGCACAUCUUGACGGUACCUAGUCAGAAAGCCACGGCUAACUACGUG
RNAcentral lists this ribosomal RNA (496 nucleotides) under uncultured bacterium. RNAcentral's name for it is "partial 16S ribosomal RNA". It matches the Rfam family "Bacterial small subunit ribosomal RNA", at positions 29 to 507 of the family's 1533-position model. The record is from RNAcentral.